AACCUUACCAAGGUUUGACAUCCCUCGCAAAGCUAUAGAAAUAUAGUAGAGGUUAUCGAGGUGACAGGUGGUGCAUGGCUGUCGUCAGCUCGUGUCUUGAGAUGUUUGGUUAAGUCCCGCAACGAGCGCAACCCCACUCUUUAGUUACUUGUCUAAAGAGACUGCACAGUAAUGUAGAGGAAGGAUGGGAUCACGUCAAGUCAUCAUGCCCCUUAUGCCUUGGGCUGCAAACGUGCUACAAUGGCGAACACAAUGUGUUGCAAACCAGCGAUGGUAAGCUAAUCACCAAAUUUCGUCUCAGUUCGGAUAGGAGGCUGCAAUUCGCCUCU
RNAcentral lists this ribosomal RNA (329 nucleotides) under uncultured Mycoplasma sp. RNAcentral describes it as "bacterial SSU rRNA". It matches the Rfam family "Bacterial small subunit ribosomal RNA", at positions 967 to 1319 of the family's 1533-position model. The record is from RNAcentral. Lineage: Bacteria; Bacillati; Mycoplasmatota; Mollicutes; Mycoplasmatales; Mycoplasmataceae.